AAACGGACUGGGAACGGCCUGGUGUAGGAGCAGUCAACAGGACUGUCAACACUAUAUAAGCUGACUUUUACCACUGUGCACAAAGAAGAAAGCCACCCGCCCCUGCAUCGAGAGUGAAGUCCUGAGACCAUGAAGAUGAGAGUUGCUGUGUUGCUGGUUGUGAUUGCUAUGUUCUGUGCUGCCGACGCUCAGACAUGCGCUCUGGAUGGACUGAUGAGCAGCCUGACCAAAUCUGUGGCCUCUGCAGUGCUGGAGAAAGUGACUCUGUCCUGCAUUGAUGUCCCAGGUAGUGGGUU
Acipenser ruthenus (sterlet) is the source of this 296-nucleotide long non-coding RNA. RefSeq lists it as uncharacterized. The transcript has 3 exons. The record is from RefSeq and is a predicted model, not a curated record. Lineage: Eukaryota; Metazoa; Chordata; Actinopteri; Acipenseriformes; Acipenseridae.